UACGUAGGGUGCGAGCGUUAAUCGGAAUUACUGGGCGGUAAAGCGUGCGCAGGCGGUUUUGUAAGCCAGAUGUGAAAUCCCCGGGCCUUAACCUGGGAAUGGCAUUUGGGACUGCAAGGCUGGAGUACGGCAGAGGAGACUGGAAUUCCUGGUGUAGCAGUGAAAUGCGUAGAGAUCAGGAGGAAUACCGAUGGCGAAGGCAGGUCGUCUGGGCUGACACUGACGCUCAUGCACGAAAGGCGUGGGGAGCAAACGAGG
This 258-nucleotide ribosomal RNA is filed under the name uncultured bacterium. Its description in RNAcentral is "partial 16S ribosomal RNA". It matches the Rfam family "Bacterial small subunit ribosomal RNA", at positions 524 to 777 of the family's 1533-position model. The record is from RNAcentral.